GAUGAACGCUGGCGGCGUGCCUAAUACAUGCAAGUCGAGAGAAUGGAUUAAGAGCUUGCUCUUAUGAAGUUAGCGGCGGACGGGUGAGUAACACGUGGGUAACCUGCCCAUAAGACUGGGAUAACUCCGGGAAACCGGGGCUAAUACCGGAUAACAUUUUGAACCGCAUGGUUCGAAAUUGAAAGGCGGCUUCGUCUGUCACUUAUGGAUGGACCCGCGUCGCAUUAGCUAGUUGGUGAGGUAACGGCUCACCAAGGCAACGAUGCGUAGCCGACGUGAGAGGGUGAGCGGCCACCCUGGGAGUGAGACACGGCCCAGACUCCUACGGGAGGCAGCAGUAGGGAAUCUUCCGCACUGGACGAAAGUCUGACGGAGCAACGCCGCGUGAGUGAUGAAGGCUUUCGGGUCGUAAAACUCUGUUGUUAGGGAAGAACAAGUGCUAGUUGAAUAAGCUGGCACCUUGACGGUACCUAACCAGAAAGCCACGGCUAACUACGUGCCAGCCGCCGCAGUAA
RNAcentral lists this ribosomal RNA (515 nucleotides) under uncultured bacterium. RNAcentral describes it as "partial 16S ribosomal RNA". It matches the Rfam family "Bacterial small subunit ribosomal RNA", at positions 28 to 523 of the family's 1533-position model. The record is from RNAcentral.